RNAcentral lists this ribosomal RNA (354 nucleotides) under uncultured bacterium. Its description in RNAcentral is "bacterial SSU rRNA". It matches the Rfam family "Bacterial small subunit ribosomal RNA", at positions 81 to 436 of the family's 1533-position model. The record is from RNAcentral.
CGGUAAUUGACCUAGCGGCGGACGGGUGAGUAAUACUUACGAAUCUGCCUAUUAAUGGGGGACAACAUCUCGAAAGGGAUGCUAAUACCGCAUACGCCCUACGGGGGAAAGCAGGGGAUCACUUGUGACCUUGCGUUAAUAGAUGAGCCUAAGUCGGAUUACCUAGUUGGUGGGGUAAAGGCCUACCAAGGCGACGAUCUGUAGCGGGUCUGAGAGGAUGAUCCGCCACACUGGGACUGAGACACGGCCCAGACUCCUACGGGAGGCAGCAGUGGGGAAUAUUGGACAAUGGGGGGAACCCUGAUCCAGCCAUGCCGCGUGUGUGAAGAAAGCCUUAUGGUUGUAAAGCACUUU